Long non-coding RNA from Spinacia oleracea (spinach), 385 nucleotides. RefSeq lists it as uncharacterized. Lineage: Eukaryota; Viridiplantae; Streptophyta; Magnoliopsida; Caryophyllales; Amaranthaceae. The transcript has 3 exons. The record is from RefSeq and is a predicted model, not a curated record.
CGCAAGUAGCACCACCGUGUGCCGCCGUCGCACAGCCCCUGCCGCAAGCCACCUCCGUUCGCCGGCCAACUCUCUCUCCUCCUUCUUGAAUUGGCGGAGAAUUCUCUUUAGGCGACUUUUGAAAGUGUUAAGGUGGCCUAUCAGUUUGUUUACACAAGUCUCUAAGGAUCAAUAAGCGUUGCCCAUCUACAGGUUUGAAGAUGAUGCAUCAUUGGGAUCGGGAUUAGAGAGCUUGUAGUUAUAUUUUCUUUAUUAAGUGAUUUGGUUUGUUAACUUAAAUUUGAAAUUUGUCGUACUAUUCGUAUUUCCUUAUUUCAGUUAAUUGGUUUUGGACCUAAUAUGUAAUAAGAUUAUUUAUGAACCUAAAAGUUAGUUUUAUGUUUUC